UCCCUGGUGGUCCAGUGGCUAAAACUCUGAGCUCCUGGUGCAAAGAGCCCAGGUUCGAUCCCUGGUCAGGGAA
Molecule: non-coding RNA, 73 nt
Organism: Bos taurus (domestic cattle)
Lineage: Eukaryota; Metazoa; Chordata; Mammalia; Artiodactyla; Bovidae
Source: Rfam